Long non-coding RNA from Apis dorsata (giant honeybee), 342 nucleotides. RefSeq lists it as uncharacterized. The transcript has 2 exons. The record is from RefSeq and is a predicted model, not a curated record. Lineage: Eukaryota; Metazoa; Arthropoda; Insecta; Hymenoptera; Apidae.
GGAAUUCCUUCUUUAUCUUGAAUCUUAGCUUUAACAUUCUCUAUUGUGUCUGAAGCUUCAACUUCUAAGGUAAUGGUCUUACCAGUGAGAGUUUUGACAAAGAUUUGCAUACCUCCUCUAAGUCUCAACACUAAAUGGAGUGUAGAUUCCUUUUGGAUAUUAUAAUCUGAGAGAAGUGUUCUACCAUCUUCAAGUUGUUUUCCAGCAAAAAUCAAACGUUGUUGAUCUGGUGGAAUUCCCUCUUUAUCUUGAAUCUUAGCCUUUACAUUCUCUAUUGUGUCUGAAGCUUCAACUUCUAAGGUGAUAGUUUUUCCUGUUAAAGUCUUAACAAAGAUCUGCAUU